GCGGAGGAAAAGAAACCAACAGGGAUUGCCCUAGUAACGGCGAGUGAAGCGGCAACAGCUCAAAUUUGAAAUCUGGCGUCUUUGGCGUCCGAGUUGUAAUUUGCAGAGGGCGCUUUGGCAUUGGCAGCGGUCCAAGUUCCUUGGAACAGGACGUCACAGAGGGUGAGAAUCCCGUACGUGGUCGCUAGCCUUUACCGUGUAAAGCCCCUUCGACGAGUCGAGUUGUUUGGGAAUGCAGCUCUAAAUGGGAGGUAAAUUUCUUCUAAAGCUAAAUACUGGCCAGAGACCGAUAGCGCACAAGUAGAGUGAUCGAAAGAUGAAAAGCACUUUGGAAAGAGAGUUAAAAAGCACGUGAAAUUGUUGAAAGGGAAGCGCUUGCAGCCAGACUUGCCUGUAGUUGCUCAUCUAGGUUUUUACCUAGUGCACUCUUCUAUAGGCAGGCCAGCAUCAGUUUGGGCGGUUAGAUAAAGGUCUCUGUCAUGUACCUCUCUUCGGGGAGAACUUAUAGGGGAGACGACAUGUAACCAGCCUGGACUGAGGUCCGCGCAUCUGCUAGGAUGCUGGCGUAAUGGCUGUAAGCGGCCCGUCUUGAAACACGGACCAAGGAGUCUAACAUCUAUGCGAGUGUUUGGGUGUCAAGCCCGAGCGCGUAAUGAAAGUGAACGGAGGUGGGAACCUUUCGGGGUGCACCAUCGACCGAUCCUGAUGUCUUCGGAUGGAUUUGAGUAAGAGCAUAGCUGUUGGGACCCGAAAGAUGGUGAACUAUGCUUGAAUAGGGUGAAGCCAGAGGAAACUCUGGUGGAGGCUCGCAGCGGUUCUGACGUGCAAAUCGAUCGUC
Molecule: ribosomal RNA, 838 nt
Filed under: Didymella finnmarkica
Lineage: Eukaryota; Fungi; Ascomycota; Dothideomycetes; Pleosporales; Didymellaceae
Description: partial 28S ribosomal RNA
Rfam family: Eukaryotic large subunit ribosomal RNA
Source: RNAcentral